Molecule: ribosomal RNA, 458 nt
Filed under: uncultured bacterium
Lineage: Bacteria
Description: SSU rRNA
Rfam family: Bacterial small subunit ribosomal RNA
Source: RNAcentral
AGAAUCAACGCUGGCGGCGUGCCUAACACAUGCAAGUCGCACGAGAAAGGGACUUCGGUCCUGAGUAAAGUGGCGCACGGGUGAGUAACACGUGAAUCAUCUACCCUCGAGUGGGGAAUAACCUAGAGAAAUCUGGGCUAAUACCGCAUAAUACUUACGAGUCAAAGCAGCAAUGCGCUUGGGGAGGAGUUCGCGGCCGAUUAGCUAGUUGGCGGGGUAAUGGCCCACCAAGGCGAUGAUCGGUAUCCGGCCUGAGAGGGCGCACGGACACACUGGAACUGAAACACGGUCCAGACUCCUACGGGAGGCAGCAGUGGGGAAUUUUGCGCAAUGGGGGAAACCCUGACGCAGCAACGCCGCGUGGAGGAUGAAGUAUCUUGGUACGUAAACUCCUUUCGAUGGGGAAGAUAAUGACGGUACCAUAGAAGAAGCCCGGCUAACUUCGCGCCAGCAGCCGC